Molecule: long non-coding RNA, 469 nt
Organism: Oreochromis niloticus (Nile tilapia)
Lineage: Eukaryota; Metazoa; Chordata; Actinopteri; Cichliformes; Cichlidae
Exons: 3
Source: RefSeq, a predicted model, not a curated record
UCCGCCAAACCAACGAAGAAGAAGAUAGCGCCACUUCUUUUCCAGACUGACUCAGCUCAGCAAGGGAGCCCAGCAGCACCCUGCACUGAACCAACAACCUUCUAUUUCAAUGGUGGUGAUCCAAAUCAUUGUGGAGCAGAAUGCACCAUAGAGAUGUACAACUCUCCUGUUGAACACCUCAAGACUGAAGGGUAGUUAGUCAGGCACAAGACUGAACUCUAUGGAUUGAACAUCUUUGGAGAGAUCUGAAAACAGCUGUGGACCAGUACUCCCCAUCCAACCUGAUGGAGCUUGAGAGGUUCUACAAACAAGCUAAGCUUGUAGCAUCACAUUCAAGACUUGAGACUGUAAUUGCAGCCAAAUGUAGCAAAUGUAUGUAACAAAGUACUGAGCAAAGGCUGUGAAUAUUUAUAAACAUGUAAUAUCAUGUUUGUUUGUUUUAUUUUUAAUAAAUUUGAAUUUCAAGUGA